Helianthus annuus (common sunflower) is the source of this 4760-nucleotide RNA transcript. It is a transcript of the gene named pentatricopeptide repeat-containing protein At5g50990, with no coding region annotated. Lineage: Eukaryota; Viridiplantae; Streptophyta; Magnoliopsida; Asterales; Asteraceae. The record is from RefSeq and is a predicted model, not a curated record. The transcript has 3 exons.
GUUGAGUUCAUCUUCAACAAUCUACCAACUGAUUCAUCUUCUUUGAAAUCAAAUGAGCAGAGAAGUUAUCAAACGGUUUCAAUGGCGGAACAAGCCUACUUCUAUCUGGCUAUGGCGAUCCAACCACACAGCUUCCGUUAUCGAGUUUCCUGCUACCGAACCUUCAGCAUUUUCAGACCACCAAUUGCUGGUCCAAUCUCUGGAAGAAUGCAAAUUAUCAAGAAAUUCAACAGCUGUUAUCGCAACACACUCAAGAAUCAUUAAACUCGGGUACGAAACAUGCCCAUCUCUUACAUCACUGCUGGUCACAGCAUACAUUUCUUUCAAUCAUCUCAAUUUUGCACGUCAGUUACUUAACGAAGUUCCUUACUGGAAGUUCAAUUUAGUUUCUUCCAAUUCAAUCAUCGCAAGUCUUAUGAAAGCAGGAGAUGUUAAUAUCGCCAAGAAGAUGUUCGCUAAAAUGCCCAAACGAGAUCUAAUAACCUGGAACUCAAUGAUAUCAGGUUUUGUUAGAAAUGCACGUUAUGAUGAGGCGUUUAGGUUCUUCAGAAAGAUGUUAAAUUCAAAUAUGGAGCCCGAUAAAUUUACAUUUUCAUCCAUUAUCACUUCAUGUGGUCGUGUCGGCGCUCUGGAUCAAGCUAAGUGUAUACACGGUUUACUAACCGAAAAAAGAAUUGAACUUAAUUUUAUUCUAAGUUCCGCACUCAUAGACAUGUACUCAAAAUGCGGAAGAAUCGAAACUGCAAAAUCGAUUUUCGAAAACGUUAGACACGAUGAUGUUUCCGUUUGGAAUGCCAUGAUUAACGGGCUAGCAAUGCACGGUCUUGCUACAGACGCGAUCGCAACGUUUUCAAAAAUGGAAGAUGAAAACUGUUUACCCGAUUCAAUCACUUUCGUCGGAAUCUUAACCGCAUGUAGUCAUUGCGGUUUGACUCAACAAGGCCGUGAGUAUUUUAACUUAAUGAGAACGAAAUACGCGAUCAAGCCACAGCUUGAGCAUUACGGGUCAAUGGUUGACCUCUUCGGUCGGGCCGGGCUUCUAGAAGAAGCUUACAAAGUAAUUGAAACAAUGCCGAUGGACCCUGAUGUUGUUAUAUGGAGAGCAUUUCUUAGCGCGUGUAGAACACAUAAAAACCCGAGUUUGGGAGAAGUUGCAGUUUCGAAAAUAUCACAUCUUGCUAGUGGAGAUUACGUGUUACUGUCUAAUACUUAUUGUUCCGUAAAUAAAUGGGAUAACGCCGAAAACGUAAGGCAUAUGAUGAGACAAAAACGUGUUAACAAAAGUAGAGGGAAAAGUUGGAUUGAAUUCGGUGGAGUGAUACACCAGUUUAAAUCAGGAGAUGUAUCGCAUUCUGAAACCGAAUCGAUUUACAAGAUUCUUGAGGGGUUAACGGGUCGGGUUAGAGAGGAAGGUUUUAUACGUGUUACGGAACUGGUUUUAAUGGAUAUAUCUGAAGAGGAAAAAGAGGGAAAUCUGAAUUAUCAUAGUGAAAAGUUGGCAGUGGCGUAUGGCAUACUAAAAUUGAGCCCCGGAUCUGAAAUUCGGGUUUCGAAGAAUCUGAGGACGUGUAUUGACUGUCACUCGUGGAUGAAAUUGGUUUCUAAAGUGUUGAAAAGAGUAAUCAUUGUGAGGGACCGGACCCGGUUUCAUCGGAUUGAAGAUGGUUUGUGUAGUUGUGGAGAUUACUGGUAGCUUAUUGAUUAAAGGUGAUAACAUCAACCCAUUUAUUUAUUAAUUUAUGAUUGGGUUGUGUUUUAUCUCCAAUGGGAAAAACCCAAAAAAUUAACAUAAAAGGAACGGGUCAAACGGGUUGAACAAGCUAAGUUUUCUGAUGUCUAUUUUAAUCCAUACACCCCCUAGAUCGUUUAGUCAUAGGUUCAGAAGUAUUUUGUUGUAACACCAUUUUAAUUUAAAUUGUUUGUUAAUAUUAAAGUUGUUCCUUAUUUAUCUCAAGAUAUCAGAUACAUGUACUUCUGUUCCGCUUAUUAGGUGGAUUUAUUAUUGGUACAAGAAAUGGUAUUAUUAUCUGCUGGAUUUUUGCUACUAUGUCAACACCAUCUUCUUGAUCAUGCUUUUGUUUUAUCCUAGAAACGGAAAGCUUUUCAUGGUUUGCUUUUUCGUUUGCAGAGGUAAGUAUAUCUUGAUUUGAUUUGCGUUUUUUUUUUUCAGUGAAUAAUCCAUUUAUCAUCAUAUCUAACGAACCAUUUAUAUAAGAGUGAAUUUCAAGAAUUGUUCUUUAUCUUUAUACCCAUUUUCAGACGUUGUCCUUUAUGUUUAAAAUUGACGAGUUUUGUAUUUUAUGUUUUCAAAUCAUACACGUUUUGUCCUUUAAGCCAAACUCAGUUAAUUUUUUCUGUUAAAUCUGAUCAUUUUUGUCGAUUCAUAUUUACAUGGAUUAAUUGUGUAGAUAAUAUAAAUAACAAACCCUUUUAAAAAAUAAAAAAAAAUACUUUAAAAAAAAGGCCCAUCUUCAUCAAACACCACCACCAACAACUCCGGCCACUGCUAACUCCGGCCACCGCCAACUCUGGCCACCACCAACUGGCAAUUCCGGCUUUCUCUCCAACGCCGUGUUCUGAUCGACUGCGUUUGAUAUUGCUUUCGAUAUGUUGUUUAUGUAACGAAAUUUGUGAAUAGUAUUGGUAUAUUUUAUUAACUUGUAAUCGUAUGAUAUCGGGUCGGGUUAGAUGAGAUGGAUGUUGUAUGAUAGCAUGUAGUCUGUAGAUUAAAAGACAAUUGGCAGUUUAAUAUAUACUAUCAAAAAAAGCCUCUAAGCUCUUCGAUCUACACAUCCCUUUUAUAAAAUAAUCAGCAGACAUCGAAAGAAGUCGUUGACCAACUCAAUGACUAAAAUUAUGUGUUGUUUUGCUGGUUUAUAGGAAAACACUUGUCAUUAAUUUAAAGCUGUUUCUUAACUUUUAAAAUACAUCAUGCCUGUAUAUUAGUUUAAAGCUGUUUCCAGUCCAGACCCUAAACAGAGUAUUCAAAAUCAAGAACACAACUCUGUUUUUGCACCGAAAAAUAGGACAAAUUGAGACCCAUUUUAGUGUUUGAUGAUUGUUUGUAUACAAUUCCACUAUUAAUCUACACGUACAUGAUUCAUGUCUGCUGAUUUCAAUAGCCAAUUAGCCAUGUACCUACCCAAAUGGUUGUAGCUCUAUUUCAAACUAGAAGAAAAACCCACCACCGGACCACCACAAAACACCCGUACACCACCACAUCACCCCCGUCGGACAACCACCACCAUUUAACCACAAUCCACCCCUGCCCCUUCGUUUGAAACCGGCCACCACCACCGACUUGAUUUCCGUUAGAGUCGAUUAAACUCACCAAGUUACCUUGAUCUGAUUUCUGGCCGGAGAAGACAAUCGCAAGCUACAAUCUUUGUAUUUUGGCCGGAGUUGGCGGUGGCCGGUGUUAGCAGUGGCUGGAGUUAGUGGUGGCAGGUGUUGGUAGUGGUGUUUGAUGGAGAAGGUGUGCCUUUUUUUAAAGUCUUUUUUUAUUUUUUAAAAAGGUUGGUUGUUUAAAUUAUCUACACAAUUAGUUCCUGUAAAUAUGAAUUGACAAAAAUGCCCUCAUCACAUGAUCAGAUUUAACAGAAAAAAUUAACUGAGUUUGGCUUAAAGGACAAAACGUGCAUGAUUUGAAAACAUAACGUACAAAACUCGUCAAUUUUGAACAUAAAGGACAGCGUCUGAAAAUAAGUAUAAAGAUAAAGGACAAUUAUUGAAAUUCACUCUUUAUAUAAAUAGACAAUUGAGUGCUAUGCAUCCUAUAUAUAAGCUUUUAAACCCAUACAUGAGAUAUUUAAAAUCAACCAGACCCUAUAAGAUAAAUGAAAGCAAAGUAUAGAUACAUCAAUUAUUAAUUGACCAUUUUCAGUCUUCACUCUUAUUUCUUGUUAUAUAUAUAUAUAUAUAUAUAUAUAGAUGUAUACAUGAGUUUCAAACACAUACAUUGUUACAUAUAUAAUUUAUUCGAGCACUACAUAUUUAAUUUAUUCUGAGCACUGAUGGAAUAAUAAGACUAGCAGUUAAAUAGGGGCGAAGGCGAAAGACAACGGGUCAUUGCUGAGUGCCAAAUGCUGCCAACCAUCUUUGUCUUGAACUAUUCCCACACCCAUACAUCUAACAUUGCAGAACACAAGCUUAUAACCGUCGUUAGUUUUCUCAAUAUUAAACCAGUUCAUCAAUGUUUCCGGCCCUGGGUUCCCUUCUACACCUCCUACCAUCACAACAUACUGCUCCAUACCUAUAUCAUAAUUCAACCUCCAUACAUUUGACACAUUACAACUGUUGGAGCCUGAGAACUUUAUGUUAACAUCUGUGUAAAGACGGAUCACGCCUUUCUUGGGGUUGACCGGAGUGAAAGUCAACGGGAGACCCUCCUCUUGGUUAUAGAUUGCUACUACAUCAGGUGAACAAGGCUUUUUCCCGUGCUCCAUCACAUAGAGUCCGCCAUCUGAUCUACCGUUUAAUAGCCUAGCUAUGUAUUCGGCCCCUGUGCGGAGGUGUUUUCCAUGGAUAUCGAGCACCGAAGCAGGAGUAGGAGCUGAAUUGGCUGCCAAGAUGAUGAAUGAAAGGGAGAUUAUUAUUAAGAUGAUUGUGUUCAUCUUUAGAAGUGUUGAUGAAUGAUGUAGAUUAAAAGCUAUUUAUAGAUGGCUGCUAGUUUUAGAUAUAACAAGGAUGAUGUUGUUGGUUUAGAUUUCGAUAGUUUUAGACGCAAACUCGAACUAGUGAAUUUGGAUAUUGUUUUUGAA